UGAUGUUUGUUGCAGGAA
Molecule: unclassified non-coding RNA, 18 nt
Filed under: Mus musculus (house mouse)
Lineage: Eukaryota; Metazoa; Chordata; Mammalia; Rodentia; Muridae
Description: oocyte_clustered_small_RNA8544
Source: RNAcentral